CUGGACCAGGCAGAAGUGGCUCCAGGAAUCCGGCUGGCUGGGGGUUGGUUCUUUCCUUGUAACCGGAUCUCCUGGCAACCUCCCACUGACUGAGUUUGGUGUUUUUUCAUAAGUUUCUCUCUCUCUGUCUUUCUUCUCCCUCCUCCACCUCUGUCUCUCCCUCUUCCUCUUCCUCUGGAAUUCCCCGUGUUCACCCACCCCCUCGGAGCCCCCAUUUGCCCAGUGCCCCCCACUCACCUUCCCUGCCCCUCCCUGUCCCUGUCCCUCCCAUCCUGGGCCCCCCCCCCACCUCUGUUUGUGAGCAGUCCAAGGAGCUCACUUUCUGCCCCACAGCUGGGUCUCAGGAGCUUCCCCUCUGUCCCCUGUGCCCCAGGAUGUCACAGUGGAGCCUGUCCUGGCUGGGCCUGGGGCAGCUGGCUGCCUCCCCGUGGCUGCUCCUGUUGCUGGCCGGGGCCACCUGGCUGCUGGCCCGCGUCCUGGCCUGGAGCCACCGCUUGCAUGACAUAUGCUGCCGCCUCCGGUGUUUCCCGCAGCCCCCAAAACAGAGCUGGUUUGGGGGUCACGUGGGCCUGGUGAAGAGCAAUGAGGAAGGCUUGCGGAUGAUAGAGGAUCUGGGCCACCACUUCCGUGAUGUUCACUUCUGGUGGAUCGGGCCCUUCUACCCUGUACUGUGACUCGUCCACCCUACCUUUGUUGCUCCCCUGCUCCAGGCACCGGCCACCAUCAUACCCAAGGAUAUGUUUUUCUACAACCUCCUGAAGCCCUGGCUGGGGGAUGGGCUCCUGCUGAGUGCUGGUGACAAGUGGAGCCACCACCGCUGCUUGCUGACACCUGCCUUCCAUUUUGAAAUCUUGAAACCCUAUGUGAAGAUUUUCAACAAAAGCGCAGGCAUCAUGCAUGCCAAGUGGCAGUGCCUGGCCUUGGAAGGCAGCACCCAUCUAGACAUGUUUGAGCACAUCAGCCUCAUGAUGUGCUCUGCAAAAAUGUGUCUGCAAAAUGUGUCUUCAGUUUUGACAGCAAUUGCCAGGAGAGUCCCAGUGAAUAUAUUGCUGCCAUCUUGGAGCUCAGUGCCCUUGUGGUGAAAUGGCAGGAGCAGAUCUUCCUGCACGUGGACUUCCUGUACAAUCUCACCCCCAAUGGGUGGCGCUUCCGCAGGGCCUGCAACAUGGUGCACAACUUCACAGAUGCUGUCAUCCAGGAGGGGCGCCGUGCCCUCAUUAGUGGGGGUUCCCAUGACUUCCUCAAGGCCAAGGCUAAGGCCAAGACUUUGGACUUCAUUGAUAUGCUCCUGCUGGCCAAGGAUGAAGAUGGAAAAUAAUUGUCAGAUGAGGACAUCUGAGCUGAGGCUGAUACCUUCAUGUUUGAGGGCCAUGACACCACAGCCAGUGGCCUCUCCUGGGUCCUGUACAACCUUGCAAAGCACCCAGAAUACCAGGAACGCUGUCAGCAGGAGGUGCAAGAGCUCCUGAGGGACCGUGAGCCUCAAGAGAUUGAAUGGGACGACCUGGCCCAGCUGCCCUUCCUGACCAUGUGCAUCAAGGAGAGUCUGAGGCUGCACCCCCCGGUUACAGUCAUUGCCCGCCGCUGUACGCAGGACGUCGGGCUCCCUGAUGGCCGGGUCAUCCCCAAAGGGAGCAUCUGUGUCAUCAGCAUCUUUGGGAUUCAUCACAACCCGUCUAUCUGGCCGGACCCUGAGGUGUAUAAAUCCCUUCUGCUUGACCCAGAAAUCCCCCAGAAGAGGUCUCCCCUGGCUUUUAUUCCCUUCUCCACGGGGCCCAGGAACUGCAUUGGGCAGACGUUCGCCAUGACCGAGAUGAAGGUGGUCCUGGCGCUCACGCUGCUGCGCUUCCGGGUCCUGCCCAACGAGGAGGAGCCGUGCAGGAUGCCGGAGCUCAUCCUGCGCGCAGAGGGUGGACUUCGGCUGCGCGUGGAGGCACUGAGCGCGGGCUUCCGGUGA
RNA transcript from Neomonachus schauinslandi (Hawaiian monk seal), 1957 nucleotides. It is a transcript of the gene named cytochrome P450 4F3-like, with no coding region annotated. The transcript is spliced from 12 exons. The record is from RefSeq and is a predicted model, not a curated record. NCBI's taxonomy places the organism in Eukaryota, Metazoa, Chordata, Mammalia, Carnivora, Phocidae.